Non-coding RNA from Nomascus leucogenys (northern white-cheeked gibbon), 903 nucleotides. Lineage: Eukaryota; Metazoa; Chordata; Mammalia; Primates; Hylobatidae. The record is from RefSeq and is a predicted model, not a curated record.
AUGGCAACAUCUGCCCCACGUGCCGGAAGCCAAGUGGUGGUGACAACUGCGCGCCAUUCCGCGUCCUACGGCGCAGAUCCUCUACAUGUGUCCUCGCGAGACAAGCUCACCGAACUGGCCGCGUCCAGUCAAGGAAACUUUGAGGGAAAUUUUGAGUCACUGGACCUUGCGGAAUUUGCUAAGAAGCAGCCAUGGUGGCGUAAGCUGUUCGGGCAGGAAUCUGGACCUUCAGCAGAAAAGUAUAGCGUGGCAACCCAGCUGUUCAUUGGAGGUGUCACUGGAUGGUGCACGGGUUUCAUAUUCCAGAAAGUUGGAAAGUUGGCUGCAAUAGCUGUGGGAGGUGGAUUUUUUCUCCUUCAGCUUGCAAACCAUACUGGUUACAUCAAAGUUGACUGGCAACGAGUGGAGAAGGACAUGAAGAAAGCCAAAGAGCAGCUGAAGAUCCGUAAGAGCAAUCAGACACCUACUGAGGUCAGGAGCAAAGCUGAGGAGGUGGUGUCAUUUGUGAAGAAGAAUGUUCUAGUGACUGGGGGAUUUUUCGGAGGAUUUCUGCUUGGCAUGGCAUCCUAAGGAAGAUGACCUGAUGUUCAUUGUUCAUGGUUUUUUCCAGCCAGCAGCCUCUACACUCCAUCACAGGACAUCGUGUCCCUCCUCCUCUUCUCCCAUGCCUUCCUCCCUGCCAUGGCAAAUCCCAGUGGCUUCUAUAAGCAUCUGCUGGUACAAGUUAAUGUGGCACCAUGAGCUUGAUGGUGGCAGAAGAGACAAUAGUCCUUAGCUCUCCUCCCAGUACACCCCCUACUUGGUCAGUCUGUAGGUCAACAAGAAGGUUCCUUUACCACUAUGCAAGACACUUAUGAGAAAGCAUUGCAAGAUGGCUGACCGUGGAGGAUGAGUGGAUCCUGA